UUGUCUAAAAUAAUUUCACAUCUGACCAUAUUACCCCCCGGAUGUAAAAUGUUUUAAAGUGAUUUUUUAGUUUGAUUAUUACUGGAAAUAAACUAAGGAAGAGUAAAAAAGAAAAACAAUAACACACUCUCUCUCCGUCUCUCAUUGAACCCUAAGUCGAUCCAUUCCUCCAUUCUUUCACUCACUAUCUCUGUUCCAUUCAACCGCUCCGUUCUCAGUUUGCAUCACUCCUGACUGUUUCUCAGUUCUCACUUCUCAGUCUCACAUCUGGUCGUUCGAAACAGUUCCGUUCAGAUCCGUUUCGCAAUCAAAUCAAUUCGCGGACCUUAGAUAAACAAGUUAUUUCUGUUCAGUUCGGUUUUAGUCACCGAAGCCUUUAAUCGUAUUUUGUGAAUUUUUGCAAAAUCAAGGCUCACUGAACCCAAAUCGAAGCUCAGUGAAACAAAUCGAAACACAAACGGCGUGGAAGUUCCACUUUCUUUAACUAUAUAAAAGAGUCAUGGGAUGAAAUAGAAUCUAAGGGUAGCUGAGACUGUGUCUGAGAUAAUCUGGAUUCUGGUUGAAUAAUUGGUUCUUAUUUUCAAAUAUUGCGGAAAUUGUUAUAGUUGAAUUGAAAUUGAUCUAGCUUCUAGCUAGAGGAAUUGCUAAACAUGGGCACGCGUGAAAGGAGCUUCAUUACUUAGAUUGUGUUGGCGUUAUACUUAUAGCCUUAAGAAUUUUCAUCAUCUUAGUUUACUUCUAGCUUUGAUUUUGUGCUGUCAUCUGGUCCAAUGUCUGUUAUCUAGUGUAUCAUUCUUUAAAGUUUCAAGUGUUCAAUGUUCCUACGACAUUAACAGAGGAGGAGCUUUAUGAUUUGUGAAACCGCUGAUAAAAAUGAUCUUGAAGGCAUGUUAAAUAUGAAGAUUCAAGAUUUGGAUAUUGUAGAGGAACUUAGAAUCAAAAGAGCGGACAAACAUGGAAUUGUUAAUUAUGAAGAUUUGGAGAUUGCUAUUGCAUGCAAUCUGUGGCUUUGUCAACAUCACCUUGGUAAUCAUAGUUUUGAUAGUUGAUUUACACUUGAUGUAUGUGUUAACUGUACUCUAGGCUAUGUUAAUUACUUAAGUUGGUUAAGAUGUACUCUAGCUAGCUAAAACCAUUUUAAUUACUUAAGUUUUAGUCAUGUUUUAGUCAUUUUAAUUACUUAGCAUGAUAUCUCUCUUUUAUUCAUCAGGUUCUUUAGGAAGUGUAGUGUGAUUUUGUUAGUUUUAUGUGUGUAAUUACUUAUUGAUUAAUCAAAAGCAUGAUAUCUCUCUUUUAUUCA
Molecule: long non-coding RNA, 1300 nt
Organism: Trifolium pratense (red clover)
Lineage: Eukaryota; Viridiplantae; Streptophyta; Magnoliopsida; Fabales; Fabaceae
Exons: 7
Source: RefSeq, a predicted model, not a curated record